GCGCACGUGGUCUAGUGGUAGAAUACCACCCUGCCAUCAAGCAGUACAUAGUCCGGUGGAGACCCGAGUUCGAUUCUCGGCGUGCGCA
RNAcentral lists this transfer RNA (88 nucleotides) under Haematococcus lacustris. RNAcentral's name for it is "Haematococcus pluvialis tRNA". It matches the Rfam family "tRNA". From Rfam's summary of the family: Transfer RNA (tRNA) molecules are approximately 80 nucleotides in length. Their secondary structure includes four short double-helical elements and three loops (D, anti-codon, and T loops). Lineage: Eukaryota; Viridiplantae; Chlorophyta; Chlorophyceae; Chlamydomonadales; Haematococcaceae. The record is from Rfam by way of RNAcentral.